CAACAUAUGAAUGAAAAAAUAAAUAAGGCCAAUAGUAUUAUGGGACUAAUUAGAAGGACAUUUACCUGCCUCAAUGAGGAAAUGUUCUUAUUACUUUAUAAAGCACUAGCAAGACCAAACCUCGAAUAUGCCAAUGCUAUAUGGAGCCCAUUCAAAGUUAAAGAUAUAACAGCACUUGAAAAUGUUCAAAGGCGAGCAACAAAAUUGAUACCAACAUUGAAAGAUCUAGAGUACGAAC
Molecule: long non-coding RNA, 238 nt
Filed under: Mytilus galloprovincialis (Mediterranean mussel)
Lineage: Eukaryota; Metazoa; Mollusca; Bivalvia; Mytilida; Mytilidae
Source: RNAcentral